This is a long non-coding RNA of Anguilla anguilla (European eel), 799 nucleotides long. RefSeq lists it as uncharacterized. Lineage: Eukaryota; Metazoa; Chordata; Actinopteri; Anguilliformes; Anguillidae. The transcript is spliced from 3 exons. The record is from RefSeq and is a predicted model, not a curated record.
CGCAAGGCAGGGUUUUUGUAGCGCGAGCUAAGCAGCGGGGGGCAGCAGGAAGCGGGUCUGUGCAUCGGCGGGAGUGGCAGCAGGGAAAAUGGGCCGGCCUUACUGUCGUGACAAACUGUCUUUUUUCAACGGGGCUAAAUGAAGAAGGUGCUGGAUGGAGAGAGCAGCAGGUUUAAUUGAGCAGUUUGAGGGAGGUCUACUGCUAAGAGAGCACUAGUGAUUCCAGGAUGGCUUCCCUCAGCAGGUCUCCACUGCCCUGGUGUGGAGCUCGCUAGCUCUCCAGUUUCACUGCUAUUCUCCAUCUAUAAUGCAUUCUUGCAUGAGACAUCAAGCAGAAAAUGGACAGUGCAAACAGGCAGACAUCCACUUUUUCUAACAGUCCAAGGUUCUAACAGCUCCUCCCCAAAUUACUGACUUCACCCUGUGAUGACACUUGGCAGAGGGCCUACCUCCAACAGAGAGGAUUCAGGACAUACUAAACAAUAUCUGCACCAACCAACAGAGGUUGCUACAAUAUCAUUAUUAUUCUAGCCACUUGUGUCAUUGUCUUGUAAUACUGAUUUGAGCUUGAGCCAUCUGUGUUGUGAAUGCAUAGCUAGCAACGUUAUUGGUGAGCAGACGAGUGUCUACAGAGAACACAUUUCUACUGGCAAUGGCAGAAACCAGAAAUGACUAGAGAAAAUGAAUGUGCAUUUUUCUCCAUCUUGUCUGAUGAAGCUGUCACAGUCCAGCCCUGUCUUUGUGAUUCACCAGGAUUACAAGCAGAAAGCCUGUGAAUAAACAGAAUGGUCACUGCAAA